UGAUUCCCCUAGUAACGGCGAGUGAAGAGGGAAAAGCUCAAAGUUGGAACCUGGCUGCCCUAGGCAGUCCGGAUUGUAAACUAAAGAGCGUGAUUCCAGGCAAGCCGGUUGACCAAGUCCUUUGGAAUGAGGCGCCACUGAGGGUGAGAGCCCCGUAAGUCGACUGAGCAUUUGUCUUUUGUGUUUCGCGUUCAAAGAGUCAGGUUGUUUGGGAAUGCAGCCUAAAGCUGGUGGUAAAUCCCACCUAAAGCUAAAUACAGGCGAGAGACCGAUAGCGAACAAGUACCGUGAGGGAAAGAUGAAAAGAACUUUGAAAAGAGAGUUAAACAGUAUGUGAAAUUGCCAAGAGGGAAGCAUUUGGAGUUAGAUUGACUAGGAGUUAAUCAGCUUGGUCUUUGGACUGGGUGUACUUGACUUCUAUUGGUCUGCCAAUAGCAGUUAGUCCUAGUGGAAAAAACCAGAGGGAAGGUAGUCCUUCGGGAUGUUUAUAGACCUUUGGAAAAUACACUGGGAUUGACUGAGGAAUGCAGUAGAUGCCACUAAGGCUUCGUCUAGUGGGUGCUAGGCAAAGGUACUUGGUAUUUUCAGCUUGCUGAUGUGCUAGGUUACUCGAGUCUAGUCGCCUACUAGAACUGUAAUC
Molecule: ribosomal RNA, 640 nt
Filed under: Lichtheimia ramosa
Lineage: Eukaryota; Fungi; Mucoromycota; Mucoromycetes; Mucorales; Lichtheimiaceae
Description: partial large subunit ribosomal RNA
Rfam family: Eukaryotic large subunit ribosomal RNA
Source: RNAcentral